This 1722-nucleotide long non-coding RNA is filed under the name Olea europaea subsp. europaea. Lineage: Eukaryota; Viridiplantae; Streptophyta; Magnoliopsida; Lamiales; Oleaceae. The record is from RNAcentral.
UUACUUUUUCUUUUCUUCCCAAGUUUUCUUUCUUUACCACGCUUCUUUCUUCUUCUCACUUUGCUCUUCUUCUACUCGGUUGCAACUUCCGCCACCAUAUUAUUGUCCCACCACCAUGAAUCGGCCCUCAGUCAUCGGGCCCACUAGCCUAGCGACCCAAAUCAGUGCUUGAGACAUCUAAGAGGUAUCAUUUAUUGAUUUUUAUUUGUUGGAUUGUUAUCGGAUUUAUGGGGAAUAUUGUGUGAAAUGUAAAUUGGGUUAUUUGUUUACCAUUAAUUCGUUUAUUAAGUAGCUAUCAAUUUAUUUAUUGGGUUAUAGGGAAAUAUCGUAGAUCUACAGUAAAGUUAAAGUUCAAACUCAAUUGAAAAUGUUGCAUGCUCAAAAAUAUUAUAAUGUUUUGUUUCUUUAACUUCUGAUUAAAAUUGUGCUUUAACCAAUUUAUUAGAUGUAAUCUUUUUCUGGUUAAAAUGUGCUUUGAAUCUUUAGAACUUCUUGCCCCAAAUCUAAUAAUGUUCAGCCAUUACAAAUUAUGUCCUUGUGCAGUCCCAGAUCUGGUAUCUAGUUGUGAAGAGGAAGAAAUCUGCUGCUUCUCAAAAGAUGUCUAACGGGGUAAAUGGAACAAAUGGACAUAAUGGAAAUGGAGCAAGGGUAUAAAAAAGUUGGGUUGUCAAUUUGCUCGUGUCUUUGAUAUUUUUGUGCUGUUGUAUCUCUCUGUACUUUAAUAUUGAUGGUGAUGAUGUUAAGUUGCUUGUACUGGGGAGAGUUUUCCCCCUUUUUCAUUUCUGUUGGAACAUUUAUAUAUAUUUGUUGUUUCUUUGUUAUUACAUCCAAAUUUUAUCAGUGACUAUCCCUGUAUGUAUAUUUCUGUUUGUCAUAACUAGAACAAAAAAUGACUAAUUCAAACAAUCCCUCAAAUUCAAGCAAUUCCUAAAAGUUGUGAUUUUGUUGUUCGAAUUUCAUGAUGAUAAUACCAUGGAGCUUAGAUAUCAAUGUUUGUUCGAGAGAUUGAAUUGGAUGCCGUGUUUUCACGAUUUUUGCACAGUUUAAGAUCGUUUGGUUUAUUCUAGAUUUAAACUGGGUAUGCUUGUUAUGAAAUUUAUGUUGAAGGCAGGGCUAUAGUUGGAUGUCGUUACUGAUUUGCAGUGUGGAGUAAAAAAUCUAGAUUUUUAUUUGUAAACCUUGUUAGGUAGAUGUUCAUUAAAAGCUAUUCAGUGAUUGUUUAUCAUUUGAGCUGUCUUUGACAGGCACUUACCUCUUCUUUGUAGUGUAGGUAAGUCAUGGUUAAGCAGAACACCCCUCUCAAACACACUAAAAAUAAAUGAAUAGUAACAUUGCUUGAUUGCUCAUCAUAAGUUUCUCUCUUUCUGUUAUCAGCCUGCAGGGGAGAAUUAUGCUCAUCCAAAUAUAUGUUUCUUCCACGUGCUUUUCAAGGUCAUUUAUUAUCUUCUUUUGUGAUGUUAUUUCUAUAUGCAAAUUUUACUAGUGGAUAACAUUAAAUUCUUCCAUUUGGCAGGCUACAGCUUUGGCAUUUUACAUACUUUCAGCUCUACUUUUUGAUAGCUUUGUCAUUAUUUUUGUUUUUACCGUGCUUCUAGCUGCUCUUGAUUUUUGGGUAGUCAAGAAUGUGAGUGGACACAUCUUGAUAGGAUUACGAUGGUGAAAUGAAAUAAACAAAGAGUGUGAGAGUGUGUGGAAAUUUGAAUGUCUUGAUGAGGAGGUGGG